AUAGAGACUCAGAGCUGCAUAUCAAUAAGCGGAGGAAAAGAAACUAACAAGGAUUCCCCUAGUAACGGCGAGUGAAGCGGGAAGAGCUCAAAUUUGAAAUCUUCAAGGUUCUACCUUGACGAAUUGUAGUUUAAAGAAGUGUUUUCUGUUAGUGGAGUGGCAAAAGUUCUUUGGAAUAGGACAUCAUAGAGGGUGAGAAUCCCGUAUUUGGUCAUUCUUUCUAGCUUUGUGAUACACUUUCAACGAGUCGGGUUGUUUGGGAAUGCAGUCCAAAAUGGGUGGUAAAUUUCAUCUAAAGCUAAAUAUUGGCGAGAGACCGAUAGCGAACAAGUACCGUGAGGGAAAGAUGAAAAGAACUUUGAAAAGAGAGUUAAACAGUACGUGAAAUUGUCAAAAGGGAAGCGUUUGACACCAGUGUUGUUUUCUCGAAAAUCAAUUAAGAAGUGUUUGAUUUUGAGAAUUGUUAAGACCUUAUCAGGCUUAGCUGUACUUUUUUCCUGAACUCUUUUAAUGCACUUUUCGGUUAACAAGUCAACAUCAAUUUCUUUUGUUGUAAAAGGGUAUGAGGAAGGUGGCUUUCUUUUCGGAGAAAGUGUUUAUAGUCUUGUGCCUCUGCAAUCGGAGAGAUUGAGGUCUGCAGCGUAGAUCCUUCGGGGUUAGAUACAUUUGUGCUAAGUUAUAGUUUUUCAUAGACAACUUGUUGACUAUGAUUGAUCAUGUAGCUUACUCGCUUAUGCUAUUUUACCUACGCUUAGGAUGUUGAUACGCUCACAGAGUCUC
This 780-nucleotide ribosomal RNA is filed under the name uncultured Neocallimastigales. RNAcentral describes it as "partial large subunit ribosomal RNA". It matches the Rfam family "Eukaryotic large subunit ribosomal RNA", at positions 23 to 628 of the family's 3401-position model. Lineage: Eukaryota; Fungi; Neocallimastigomycota; Neocallimastigomycetes; Neocallimastigales. The record is from RNAcentral.